Molecule: long non-coding RNA, 2024 nt
Organism: Cottoperca gobio
Lineage: Eukaryota; Metazoa; Chordata; Actinopteri; Perciformes; Bovichtidae
Product: myosin-10-like
Source: Ensembl
UUAGACACUUGAAGCGCGAGGUCAGAGGACACCAUGAAGAGAUGUCUCAGUUAAGCGAGAGGGUCAGAGAUAUGGAGCGCCUUAUAGACCAGAAGGAGAAAGAACAGCAGCAGCUACAUGAUCAGCUGCGUGAUGGUCAGCAACAGGUCGAGACAUUUGAAGGGAAGCAAGAGAAGCAGGAGCUUGAGAUGGAAUUUCUUCAGCAGCAGCUGCGAGGAGCCAAGGAGCAGCUGAAAGAUGCCAGUUUACAAGCCCAGGAGAAGAAAGAAACAGUAGCCAUUUUUAGACAGAAGUACACAGCAGCGAUGGAGAAGGUGCACCGGGUGCAAGGGCAGGUGGAGCUUUUGGAAGAGGAACUACAGUAUUCACAGCAACAGCUCGGAGAUGCCCAAGUUGGGACUCAUUCAGUGAAAGAGGAGCUAGCCGAGAUGGAGCAGCGGUACCGGGAAAAGGUCGGCCAAUGGGAGUUCUCGCAGGAGGCUCUCGACCAGUUGACGGAUGAGCUCCAGGCCAAUCAGGAUCUAUGGAGGGAGAGUCAACAAAAAGCAGACCAUCUGAAAGGCCUGGCAGGAUCCCUGCAGGAGCAAGUGGACACACUCAAACAGCAGAAAGCGAUGUUGGAGUGUGACCUACAGCUAUAUCAACAGAGUCACUCUCAUGCUGACGAGGAGUUCCUCCGGCAGCUGAGACACCGGCAGCAGCUUCAGAAGCGCUGCACGGAGCAGGUCGAACGCCUUGCAGAGUGUGAGAAGGCGAUUCUUCAGAUGAAGUCAGAGCUGGAGAGACAAGUCCAGGAAAAAGGGGGUCUGAAGCAAAGUCUUCUCGCGUCCCACCAUACACACACGAGCGACCGAAGCCGGCUGGAACAGGAAGUUGUAUGCUUAGAGCUUGAGCUGGCUGACACCCAAAAGGUACAUGUGGCACUUCUCAGACAGUCAGAGGAGGAGCUGAAGGAGGCCGUACAAGAGGCAGCGAGAAGGAGCAGUGAGGUGGAUGUACAGCGAGGAGAGGCGGUGAGGCUUCAGGAAGAGUUACUGAAGGGGGAGGAGAAGGCGAGUAGUGCCAUCAGAGAGAAACAAAGUCUGAGCGCUCGCAUCAGACAGUUGAGCCAAGAGCUGGAGGAGCUACGCAGCAAGCUGCAAGUGACAGUGGAGGAGUUGGCAGCCCGUGCAGAGGAGGCGAGGCGGAUGGAGGGGAGCCUGAAUGAGGGAAAGCUAGCAGAGGGGAAAAUAAGGUCAAUGGCUGCGAGGAUGGAGACGGAGGUGGCAGAGCUCACGAGGAAUCUUCACCAGGCUGUCGACCACAAACUCUCGGCAGAGCGAGAGAAGCGGGAAGCGCAGGAACAAGUGGACACACUCCGGUCGGAGCUGCAGGGGACACGGUCUGACUACGCACACCUUCGCCAUGAGAGCCAGCUGGUCAUGACUAAUGUUGACCGUUGGAUCAGUGAACAAAAGGUUUCCAACGAGAGCCUCAUCGGCCGGAUGAAGGCCCGCCAGCGGGUGCUGCUCCUCGUCACUGAGGAGAAAACAAUGGAAAAGCAGAGUUGUGUUGCUCUAAACCUCAGCAAGAUCGAGGACAUGCACAACAGACUGCGAAGCAACCUGGAGGCCAUCGGAAUGCUAAAUCAACAAUUAAACUCCCUCAGCGGGGAGAAUAAGCGGUUGUGUAGGCGGCUGCAGGAGGAGAGGUCUAUGCGUAGACAAGUGGAGCGACUGCUCCCUCCUCCGCCUCCCACCUUCCAGCAGUGCUCCUCCGUCUACCUCCCCCUCUCCCUCAGUGCCUGCCCACCUCCUCCCUCCACCUCCCUACUCUCAUCCCUCCGCCUCCCUCCUCCCUUGAGCCCGGGCACAGCGACGGGGGACAUUGAUGGGAUUCUAACCCAAACCAAGCUGAGCAGAGCCGGGCUAGAGAGACCAGAGACGUGCUGAUCAAGAGAUCCCACAUGAAAGCUUCGAUCCUUUAUUGAUUUCACCUUUUUAAACUGCGUCUCUCCGGAGGGUGUGAUAUUGAGAUUAUGAGAA